RNAcentral lists this long non-coding RNA (1235 nucleotides) under Nicotiana tabacum (common tobacco). RNAcentral describes it as "long non-coding RNA (NTAB_LNC014233)". Lineage: Eukaryota; Viridiplantae; Streptophyta; Magnoliopsida; Solanales; Solanaceae. The record is from RNAcentral.
CUCUUUCUCCUUCUUAGUCAACAUGGGCACCACUACUUGCUUUGAUCCCUUUGCUUUCUCCUUCUUAGUCAAUCUUUUAAGGAGGGCAGAAAGGAGAAACAAUAUUACCCUUAUUAUGCAACUUGCAAUUUGCAAAGACAACUCUUGGCAUUUAAUAGAUACUGACAAUUUCUCAACUUAUUUUAAGAUAAUUAUGUUUGAUACAAAACCCCGUGAACUGUACUGCUGAAAUUAAGCAUGUGGUUUGAAUAGCAAAUUUAAGGUAUAUAUAAUGAUAGUUUAAAGGGUUUUUAUAUAAUCGGGGUAGCUUAACCUAUUAUAACUUGCUAGUUAUCAUUUUUAUUAUGUUGUCAAUCAAUAUUUAACAUGAAUAUUUUCUUAUAGUUACUUUAUUAAUAACUUGAUUGUGUAAUAUUUUUUGCAUUAUUAAUAUAUAUUUAUAAACUCUUGAAAGGCUAAGGCAAGACAUGGGCGGAUCUAGUAACCAGAGGUUCAUUUGAACCCAUAACUUUUAGUCUAGACAUGAGUUUAUGUGUAAAAUCCACUAAAAUUGACAAAAAAAUUAAACUAUGAACUCAUAAAUCAAAUAAAAUAAUAGAUUCAGCGGUUAAAAUAUGAAUCUUGAACACAUAAAAUUAAAAUUAUGAAUCCGCUCCAACAAGAAGACGAGGUCUAUUCUAUAUAAAGGCAGCAGAGAAAGCAUACUUGAUAUUCUAAGAUAGAAACACGUUUUUUCUUUCUCAAUCCAUUCUUAAAUAUUUUAGCAUAACAAGAAUAAAGGGGUCAUCUAUUUUUCACACUCAUGGCAAUUUCUCAUGUGGAUGAAAAUGGAUAUAAUGAUGGAUAUACAAAAGAUGGAACAGUGGAUCUCAAAGGCAAUCCUAUUCUUAGAUCCAAGAGAGGUGGAUGGAAAGCUUGUUCCUUCAUUGUUGGUAUGGUAUCUUAGCUCCCUCUCUUCCUCCUCCCCUCCCCCCCCCCCCCCCACAUCCCCCCAAAAAAGAAAACUUCCCCUACACUCCCAUAUUAAGAUAAUUGAGGUCGGCUAUAUAAAUUCUCACCGUUUAUAUUGCUUCAUCUGGCCCCUUUUCAGACCCGGCGUAAAUACGGAAUGCCUUGUGCAUCGCGCUGCCCUAUAUCGCUUCAUUAGUCAUGGCAAAACUUCAUGAAACAUUGAUGUCUAGUGUCUUUAAUUUCUUUAGCUUAUCCCUACAUAAAACUGCAGGAAUCAUCUUCAC